RNAcentral lists this unclassified non-coding RNA (385 nucleotides) under uncultured Actinomycetes bacterium. RNAcentral describes it as "uncultured actinobacterium contains 16S-23S intergenic spacer region". The record is from RNAcentral. Lineage: Bacteria; Bacillati; Actinomycetota; Actinomycetes.
UCCGGUUUGUCACCGGCAGUCCCGACAGAGUCCCCGCCAGCCUAAAAGGCCGCGCUGGCAACAGUCGGCAAGGGUUGCGCUCGUUGCGGGACUUAACCCAACAUCUCACGACACGAGCUGACGGCAACCAUGCACCACCUGUGCACGGCCCUUACGGACCCACCAUCUCUGGAGGAUUUCCGCACAUGUCAAACCCAGGUAAGGUUCUUCGCGUUGCAUCGAAUUAAUCCGCAUGCUCCGCCGCUUGUGCGGGCCCCCGUCAAUUCCUUUGAGUUUUAGCCUUGCGGCCGUACUCCCCAGGCGGGGCACUUAAUGCGUUAGCUACGGCACGGAACCCGUUGAUAAGGCCCCACACCUAGUGCCCAACGUUUACGGCGUGGACUAC